GACGAACGCUGGCGGCGUGCUUAACACAUGCAAGUCGAACGGAAAGGCCCUGCUUUUGUGGGGUGCUCGAGUGGCGAACGGGUGAGUAACACGUGAGUAACCUGCCCUUGACUUUGGGAUAACUUCAGGAAACUGGGGCUAAUACCGGAUAGGAGCUCCUGCUGCAUGGUGGGGGUUGGAAAGUUUCGGCGGUUGGGGAUGGACUCGCGGCUUAUCAGCUUGUUGGUGGGGUAGUGGCUUACCAAGGCUUUGACGGGUAGCCGGCCUGAGAGGGUGACCGGCCACAUAGGGAAUCAGAUACGGCAAGGACUAGUACGUGAGGGAGAAGAGGCGACAAAUGCACACUGGACCGAAACCUGAUGCAGAGAAGUCUACUGAGGAAUAAAUGAAAGAAAGGUGUAGAACGCUUAGGGCUGUGAUUAAGCGUGUGUAACGGUAAUGGGUAAAGAAGCACCAGCUAACUACGUA
RNAcentral lists this ribosomal RNA (468 nucleotides) under uncultured bacterium. RNAcentral's name for it is "partial 16S ribosomal RNA". It matches the Rfam family "Bacterial small subunit ribosomal RNA", at positions 28 to 507 of the family's 1533-position model. The record is from RNAcentral.